UGUCUAAGUACACGCCAAAACAAGGCAAAACCGCGAAUGGCUCAUUAAAUCAGUUGUGGUUUCUUAGAUUAUAAAUAAUUACUUGGAUAACUGUGGUAAUUCUAGAGCUAAUACAUGCUACAAACGCUUCGUCCUCGCGGACGGAGAGCUUUUAUUAGAUCAGGAUCAAUGAGGCUUCGCUUAGGCGAUCCUCUUUAAAUCUUGGUGACUCUGAAUAACCAUUAUGCUGAUCGCACGGUCACGUACCGGCGACGAAUCUUUCAAGUGUCUGCCUUAUCAACUGUCGAUGGUAGGUUAAGCGCCUACCAUGGUUGUCACGGGUAACGGGGAAUCAGGGUUCGAUUCCGGAGAGGGAGCCUGAGAAACGGCUACCACAUCCAAGGAAGGCAGCAGGCGCGCAAAUUACCCACUCCCGGCACGGGGAGGUAGUGACGAAAAAUAACGAUACGGGACUCAUAUGAGGCCCCGUAAUCGGAAUGAGUACAAUUUAAAUCCUUUAACAAGGAUCCACUGGAGGGCAAGUCUGGUGCCAGCAGCCGCGGUAAUUCCAGCUCCAGUAGUCUACAUUAAAGCUGUUGCGGAUAAAAAGCUCGUAGUUGGAUCUCGGUUCGAGG
RNAcentral lists this ribosomal RNA (614 nucleotides) under Porocephalidae sp. ZCRK 113. RNAcentral's name for it is "SSU rRNA". It matches the Rfam family "Eukaryotic small subunit ribosomal RNA", at positions 56 to 651 of the family's 1831-position model. Lineage: Eukaryota; Metazoa; Arthropoda; Ichthyostraca; Porocephalida; Porocephalidae. The record is from RNAcentral.